This 30-nucleotide non-coding RNA is filed under the name Cricetulus griseus (Chinese hamster). Lineage: Eukaryota; Metazoa; Chordata; Mammalia; Rodentia; Cricetidae. The record is from RNAcentral.
UGAAGGUGGAAGACAUGAACCUGUUCACUC